GACGAACGCUGGCGGCGUGCUUAACACAUGCAAGUCGAACGAUGAAGUCUAGCUUGCUAGGUGGAUUAGUGGCGAACGGGUGAGUAAUACGUGAGUGACCUACCUUUGACUCUGGGAUAAGCCUGGGAAAUUGGGUCUAAUACCGGAUACGACCAAUCUCCGCAUGGGGUGUUGGUGGAAAGCGUUAUGGAGUGGUUUUAGAUGGGCUCACGGCCUAUCAGCUUGUUGGUGAGGUAAUGGCUUACCAAGGCGACGACGGGUAGCCGGCCUGAGAGGGUGACCGGCCACACUGGGACUGAGACACGGCCCAGACUCCUACGGGAGGCAGCAGUGGGGAAUAUUGCACAAUGGGCGCAAGCCUGAUGCAGCGACGCCGCGUGAGGGAUGACGGCCUUCGGGUUGUAAACCUCUGUUAGCAUCGAAGAAGCGAAAGUGACGGUAGGUGCAGAGAAAGCGCCGGCUAACUACGUGCCAGCAGCCGCGGUAAUACGUAGGGCGCGAGCGUUGUCCGGAAUUAUUGGGCGUAAAGAGCUUGUAGGCGGUUGGUCGCGUCUGCUGUGAAGGCUGGGGCUUAACCCUGGUUUUGCAGUGGGUACGGGCUAACUAGAGUGCAGUAGGGGAGACUGGAAUUCCUGGUGUAGCGGUGGAAUGCGCAGAUAUCAGGAGGAACACCGAUGGCGAAGGCAGGUCUCUGGGCUGUAACUGACGCUGAGAAGCGAAAGCAUGGGGAGCGAACAGGAUUAGAUACCCUGGUAGUCCAUGCCGUAAACGUUGGGCACUAGGUGUGGGGGACAUUCCACGUUUUCCGCGCCGUAGCUAACGCAUUAAGUGCCCCGCCUGGGGAGUACGGCCGCAAGGCUAAAACUCAAAGAAAUUGACGGGGGCCCGCACAAGCGGCGGAGCAUGCGGAUUAAUUCGAUGCAACGCGAAGAACCUUACCAAGGCUUGACAUAUACUGGACUGCGUCAGAGAUGGCGUUUCCCUUCGGGGCUGGUAUACAGGUGGUGCAUGGUUGUCGUCAGCUCGUGUCGUGAGAUGUUGGGUUAAGUCCCGCAACGAGCGCAACCCUCGUUCUAUGUUGCCAGCACGUGAUGGUGGGGACUCAUAGGAGACUGCCGGGGUUAACUCGGAGGAAGGUGGGGAUGACGUCAAAUCAUCAUGCCCCUUAUGUCUUGGGCUUCACGCAUGCUACAAUGGCCGGUACAGAGGGUUGCGAUACUGUGAGGUGGAGCUAAUCCCUAAAAGCCGGUCUCAGUUCGGAUUGGGGUCUGCAACUCGACCCCAUGAAGUCGGAGUCGCUAGUAAUCGCAGAUCAGCAACGCUGCGGUGAAUACGUUCCCGGGCCU
RNAcentral lists this ribosomal RNA (1346 nucleotides) under uncultured bacterium. RNAcentral describes it as "bacterial SSU rRNA". It matches the Rfam family "Bacterial small subunit ribosomal RNA", at positions 28 to 1381 of the family's 1533-position model. The record is from RNAcentral.